AAGCCCAUAGCCAAGUGGUAAGGCAAGGGACUUUGACUCCCUCACUCGUAGGUUCAAAUCCUGCUGGGCUUGCCA
This 75-nucleotide transfer RNA is filed under the name Acholeplasmatales bacterium. Its description in RNAcentral is "tRNA-Gln". It matches the Rfam family "tRNA". Rfam says of the family: Transfer RNA (tRNA) molecules are approximately 80 nucleotides in length. Their secondary structure includes four short double-helical elements and three loops (D, anti-codon, and T loops). Further hydrogen bonds mediate the characteristic L-shaped molecular structure. tRNAs have two regions of fundamental functional importance: the anti-codon, which is responsible for specific mRNA codon recognition, and the 3' end, to which the tRNAs corresponding amino acid is attached (by aminoacyl-tRNA synthetases). tRNAs cope with the degeneracy of the genetic code in two manners: having more than one tRNA (with a specific anti-codon) for a particular amino acid; and 'wobble' base-pairing, i.e. permitting non-standard base-pairing at the 3rd anti-codon position. The record is from RNAcentral. Lineage: Bacteria; Bacillati; Mycoplasmatota; Mollicutes; Acholeplasmatales.